UACGAGGGGGGCAAAUGUUGUUCGGAAUCACUGGGCGUAAAGGGAGCGUAGGCGGGCUUCUAAGUUAGAUGUUUAAUCCCGGGGCCCAACCCCGGACAGGCACCUAAAACUGGAAGUCUUGAAUAGUGGAGAGGACGGCGGAAUUGGGGGUGUAGCGGUGGAAUGCGUAGAGAUCCCCAAGAACACCAGUUGCGAAGGCGGCCGUCUGGACACAUAUUGACGCUGAGGCUCGAAAGCGUGGGGAGCAAACAGG
Molecule: ribosomal RNA, 253 nt
Filed under: uncultured bacterium
Lineage: Bacteria
Description: partial 16S ribosomal RNA
Rfam family: Bacterial small subunit ribosomal RNA
Source: RNAcentral